This 486-nucleotide ribosomal RNA is filed under the name uncultured bacterium. RNAcentral describes it as "partial 16S ribosomal RNA". It matches the Rfam family "Bacterial small subunit ribosomal RNA", at positions 28 to 523 of the family's 1533-position model. The record is from RNAcentral.
GAUGAACGCUGGCGGCGUGCUUAACACAUGCAAGUCGAACGGUGAAGGUGGGAGCUUGCUCCUACUGGAUCAGUGGCGAACGGGUGAGUAACACGUGAGCAAUCUGCCCCGAACUCUGGGAUAAGCACUGGAAACGGUGUCUAAUACCGGAUACGACGCGCGACGGCAUCGUCUACGCGUGGAAAGAAUUUCGGUUCGGGAUGAGCUCGCGGCCUAUCAGCUUGUUGGUGAGGUAAUGGCUCACCAAGGCGACGACGGGUAGCCGGCCUGAGAGGGUGACCGGCCACACUGGGACUGAGACACGGCCCAGACUCCUACGGGAGGCAGCAGUGGGGAAUAUUGCACAAUGGGCGAAAGCCUGAUGCAGCAACGCCGCGUGAGGGACGACGGCCUUCGGGUUGUAAACCUCUUUUAGCAGGGAAGAAGCGAAAGUGACGGUACCUGCAGAAAAAGCACCGGCUAACUACGUGCCAGCCGCCGCCGUAA